GAAAAAGCAGGGGCUUGUUGCCUUCGUAAGUGGGCCACCCGAAACUCCAUGGAAAAUUUUUUUAUAUUGUUCUUGGGUGAAUCUCUAGGGUUUUUUUUUGUAACAGAAGGUUCAGUAAAUGAUGGUACAUGA
Molecule: small nucleolar RNA, 132 nt
Organism: Telopea speciosissima
Lineage: Eukaryota; Viridiplantae; Streptophyta; Magnoliopsida; Proteales; Proteaceae
Product: small nucleolar RNA snoR74
Exons: 1
Source: RefSeq, a predicted model, not a curated record